This 653-nucleotide long non-coding RNA is filed under the name Pan troglodytes (chimpanzee). Its description in RNAcentral is "lincRNA". The record is from RNAcentral. Lineage: Eukaryota; Metazoa; Chordata; Mammalia; Primates; Hominidae.
UGUGCUCUGGGGACCGCUGCAUCCUCAGGCUGUGGACUAGGAAGCUGAGGGUCACCCAGACAAGAGGAGGUGCUGGAGGUCACACAGUGAAUAUGCCUCGCUGGCCUUCCCGUCUGGCGUGUCUUCCUCUGCCCCCAUCCAGGGAGGAUCACCUGAGCCCAGGAGGUCAAAGCUUCAGUGAGCUGCGAUCUCACUGUCAGGCCUCUGAGCCCAAGCUAAGCCAUGGCAUCCCCGGUGACUUGCACGUAUACGCCCAGAUGGCCUGAAGUAACUGAAGAAUCACAAAAGAAGUGAAAAUGCCCUGCCCCGCCUUAACUGAUGACAUUCCACCACAAAAGAAGUGAAAAUGCCCUGCCCCGCCUUAACUGAUGACAUUCCACCACAAAAGAAGUGAAAAUGGCCGGUCCUUGCCUUAACUGAUGACAUUGUCUUGUGAAAUUCCUUCUCCUGGCUCAUCCUGGCUCAAAAAGCUCCUCCACUGAGCCCCUUGUGACCCCCACUCCUGCCCGCCAGAGAACAAUCCCCCUUUGUAAUUUUCCUUUACCUACCCAAAUCCUAUAAAACGGCCCCACCCUUACCUCCCUUCGCUGACUCUCUUUUCAGACUCAGCCCGCCUGCACCCAGGUGAUUAAAAGCUUUACUGCUCACACAAA